GUAUCUCAAACCAUAGACAUGUCUAUGUCUCAAACCCUGUUGCACACCGUUUCCAGGAAACGUCGUUCAACCCGGAAACCGUAGCAAAACGUUGGGCACCGGUGUGAGCCUGAACGUGCCCCAGAAUGACUGAGCAGAUAAUUCAGAGUGAACCGAGGAUUUGACUGCCGGGGCGAAAAACAGCAGCUGAAGAACGGAGCUGAGCCAAAGUAAUCCCUCUGCCACCUUCUGGAAGUAUGGAUCAGCAAUUUUCAUUCCUCCUGGACAACAAACAACUUGAUGUGGUGUCAUAUACAUCCGUGCAAGCUGGAACACUGGGACAGGAUGCAUAGGGGAUGCUGAGCUACUACAACCACAGAGGUUGUAGCAGCACUUUAGGUAUGGUUGCUCCUUUACGCUUAAGGAAGAUUAAGGAAAAGAGUCCAACACCGUGGUAUAAUGAGCACACUCGUGCCCUAAAGAGAGCAGCACAGAAAUUGGAGCGCAGCUGGAGGAAAACAAAACUAGAGGUAUUUCGUAUUGCUUGGCGGGAAAGUACCCUAUCCUACAGAAAAGCAUUAAAAACUGCUAGAUCUGAUUACUUUUUGUCUCUUUUAGAAGAAAACAAACAUAACCCUAGGUAUUUAUUCAAUACAGUGGCUAAAUUAAUACAAAAUAAAGCAUCAGCAGGUGUUCACAUUUCCCAACAGCACAGCAGUAAUGACUUCCAAGAUCGAUACUAUUAGAUAUAAAAUUGUAACCAUGCAGCUGUCAGCUACAGUAUCGCAUCAGAUAGUGCACUAUAGAUCCCCUGAGGAACAAUUCCACUCAUUCUCUACUAUAGGAGAGGAAGAAUUGUAUAAACUUGUUAAAUCAUCUAAACCAACAACAUGUAUGUUAGACCCUAUUCCAUCUAAACUACUAAAAGAGGUGCUUCCAGAAGUCAUAGAUCCUCUUUUGGCUAUUAUUAAUUCGUCAUUGUCUUUAGGAUAUGUCCCCAAAACCUUUAAAUUGGCUGUUAAAUGACCUCUGGGGUCUGAGGUCAUUUUGGGGCCCUUGAGAUGUUUUGACAUGCCCUGAUAUUUGUGCUUAUUUCAGCUACUUAAAACAUACUAUUGACCAACAUGUAAUUUUUUUUGUAUUCAGCACAAACCGUGCUACAAUAAUGUGACCAAGAUGGAUGUACAUGUUUGCAUUUUUUAGAAAAAAAAUAUUAUGCGUGGUUACUAAAUAGUUGUGAAUAAGACUUUUGAGUAAUCAGUAUUGUAGGCUAGAAUAUUUACUUCAAAAUUAUGUGAAAAUCAUUCUGCUUACUCAUUCUCAGAAAACAAUAUAUUGAUUUAAAAUUUUCAAGACAUGUUUUGUGAUCGAGGGUACAUCCGUAUAACACUUAUUUGUGUGACCAAAACCAACAGAGUAUUUUUAGUGUCUUUUGCACUGAUCUUAAAAAAAUGAGUUGGUCUCGCCGGCAAGACAGCCGACCCCAGAGAGUUAAGCCUCUCAUUAAAAAAACACAACUUGACCCCAAAGAUCUUGUUAAUUACAGACCGAUCUCGAAUCUCCCUUUUCUGUCAAAGAUACUAGAAAAGGUACUAUCCUCACAAUUAUAUUCCUUCUUAGAGAAAAAUGUUAUCUGUGAGGAUUUUCAGUCAGGAUUUAGACCGUUUCAUAGCACUGAGACUGCUCUCAUUAGAGUUACAAAUGACCUGCUGUUAUCAUCUGUUUGUGGUUGUUCCUCUCUAUUAGUGCUACUGGAUCUUAGCACUGUGCCGACACUAUCGACCACAACAUUCUUUUGAAUAGACUAGAAAACUUUGUUGGCAUUAGUGGAAGUGCAUUAGCAUGGUUCAAAUCGUACUUAUCUGACCGCCAUAAAUUUGUAGCAGUGAAUGAAGAGGUAUCAUAUCGAUCACAAGUGCAGUAUGGAGAGUACCUCAAGGCUCAGUACUAGGGCCGUUACUUUUCACGCUUUACAUGUUACCCUUAGAAAAUAUCAUCAGGAAACACGGUGUUAGCUUUCACUGUUAUGCUGAUGAUAAUCGGCUCUAUAUUUCUUCGCGGCCCGGUGGAACACACCAAAUUAAGAAACUAACGGAAUGCAUAGUCGAUAUAAAAAAACUGGAUGACGAGUAAUUUCUUAUUGCUAAAUUCUGAAAAAACAGAGGUGUUAAUUAUAGGACCUAAAAUCCCCACAUGUAAUAACUUAGAACACUGUCUAACACUUGAUGGCUGCUCUGUAAAUUCUUCAUCAUCAGGUGUGCUAUUUUCUAAAUGCAGUUUUUAGCAUUUGUAAAACUGCAUUUUUUCAUCUUAAAAAUAUAUCUAAAUUGAGACCUAUGCUCUCAAAGUCAAAUGCAGAAAUGUUAAUUCAUGCAUUUAUGACCUCAAGGUUAGAUUAUUGUAAUGCUUUAUUGGGUGGUUGUUCUGCACGCUUAAUAAACAAACUUCAGAUGGUCCAAAAUGCAGCAUCUAGAGUUCUUACUAGAACCAGGAAGUAUGACCACAUUAGCCCGGUUCUGUCAACACUGCACUGGCUCCCUGUUAAACAUCGUAUAGAUUUGAAAAUCUUGUUAAUUACUUAUAAAGCCCUGAAUGGUUUAGCACCUCAGUACUUGAGUGAGCUCUUAUCGCAUUAUAGUCCUCCACGUCCACUACGUUCUCAAAACUCUGGCAAUUUGAUAAUACCUAGAAUAUCAAAAUCAACUGCGGGCGGCAGAACCUUUUCCUAUUUAGCACCCAAACUCUGGAACAAUCUACCUAACACUGUUCGGGAGGCAGACCCAUCUCUUUAACCUGGCGUACACAUAACACACUAAUACGCUUCUAAUAUUCAAAUCCAUUAAAGGAUUGUUAGGCUGCAUUAAUUAGGUCAACCAGAACCGGGAACACUUCCCAUAACACCCGAUGUACUUGUUACAUUGUAAGAAGAAUGGCAUCUACGCUAAUAUUAGUCUGUUUCUUUCUUAUUCCGAGAUCAACGUAUCCAUCCGAUUCCAGUCCGUAUCCAGAUCAGAUGGUGGAUCAGCACCUAGAGAUGACCUCUACAGCCCUGAACGUCAGCGGAGAUCAGGACACCUAGAUGAACCCCAGAGACAGAUCCCCAGUGAGGACCUCGUCACCUAGACAGCCAUCGGGAACAAGACCUCGGGAACCAGAUGAGUCCUUUACACAAUCUGACUUUGCUGCAGUUGGAAUUGAACUGCUUGUUCGUCUGGUCAGAGGAGAACUGGCCCCCCCGACUGAGCCUGGUUUUUCCCCAAGGCUUUUUUCUCCAUUCUGUCACUGAUGGAGUUUUGGUUCCUUGCCGCUGUCGGCUCUGGCUUGCUUAGUUGGGGACACUUAAUUUCCAUCUGAUUGCACAGAUACUAUUUAAACUGAACUGAGCUGGACGAUGACAUCAUUGAAUUCAAUAAUGAAAUGCCUUUAACUGAAAAUUGAGUGUUUAAUCUUGUCAUUUUACAUUAUUGACACACUGUUUUCCUGUUUUGAUAUUGGAAAGUUGCUUUGACACAAUCUGUAUUGUUAAAAGUGCUAUAUAAAUAAAGGUGACUUGACUUGACUUCAAA
This is a long non-coding RNA of Onychostoma macrolepis, 3545 nucleotides long. RefSeq lists it as uncharacterized. The transcript has 4 exons. Lineage: Eukaryota; Metazoa; Chordata; Actinopteri; Cypriniformes; Cyprinidae. The record is from RefSeq and is a predicted model, not a curated record.